This 253-nucleotide ribosomal RNA is filed under the name uncultured bacterium. RNAcentral's name for it is "partial 16S ribosomal RNA". It matches the Rfam family "Bacterial small subunit ribosomal RNA", at positions 524 to 776 of the family's 1533-position model. The record is from RNAcentral.
UACAGAGGGUGCGAGCGUUGUUCGGAAUUAUUGGGCGUAAAGAGCUCGUAGGCGGCCAACUAAGUCAGACGUGAAAUCCCUCGGCUUAACCGGGGAACUGCGUCUGAUACUGGAUGGCUUGAGGUUGGGAGAGGGAUGCGGAAUUCCAGGUGUAGCGGUGAAAUGCGUAGAUAUCUGGAGGAACACCGGUGGCGAAGGCGGCAUCCUGGACCAAUUCUGACGCUGAGGAGCGAAAGCCAGGGGAGCAAACGGG